RNAcentral lists this ribosomal RNA (468 nucleotides) under uncultured bacterium. RNAcentral's name for it is "partial 16S ribosomal RNA". It matches the Rfam family "Bacterial small subunit ribosomal RNA", at positions 28 to 507 of the family's 1533-position model. The record is from RNAcentral.
GACGAACGCUGGCGGCGUGCUUAACACAUGCAAGUCGAACGGAAAGGCCCUGCUUUUGUGGGGUGCUCGAGUGGCGAACGGGUGAGUAACACGUGAGCAACCUGCCCUUGACUUUGGGAUAACUUCAGGAAACUGGGGCUAAUACCGGAUAGGAGCUCCUGCUGCAUGGUGGGGGUUGGAAAGUUUCGGCGGUUGGGGAUGGACUCGCGGCUUAUCAGCUUGUUGGUGGGGUAGUGGCUUACCAAGGCUUUGACGGGUAGCCGGCCUGAGCGGGUGACCGGCCACAUUGGGACUGAGAUACGGCCCAGACUCCUACGGGAGGCAGCAGUGGGGAAUAUUGCACAAUGGGCGGAAGCCUGAUGCAGCAACGCCGCGUGCGGGAUGACGGCCCUCGGGUUGUAAACCGCUUUCGCCUGUGACGAAGCGUGAGUGACGGUAAUGGGUAAAGAAGCACCGGCUAACUACGUG